RNAcentral lists this ribosomal RNA (213 nucleotides) under uncultured bacterium. RNAcentral describes it as "partial 16S ribosomal RNA". It matches the Rfam family "Bacterial small subunit ribosomal RNA", at positions 524 to 736 of the family's 1533-position model. The record is from RNAcentral.
UACAGAGGGGGCAAGCGUUGUUCGGAAUUACUGGGCGUAAAGGGCGCGUAGGCGCCUGUUAAGUCGAACGUGAAAUCCCCGGGCUCAACCCGGGAACUGCGUCCGAUACUGGCAGGCUUGAAUCCGGGAGAGGGAUGCGGAAUUCCAGGUGUAGCGGUGAAAUGCGUAGAUAUCUGGAGGAACACCGGUGGCGAAGGCGGCGAUCCUGGACCG